This 816-nucleotide ribosomal RNA is filed under the name Bacillus pumilus. RNAcentral's name for it is "bacterial SSU rRNA". It matches the Rfam family "Bacterial small subunit ribosomal RNA", at positions 557 to 1373 of the family's 1533-position model. Lineage: Bacteria; Bacillati; Bacillota; Bacilli; Caryophanales; Bacillaceae. The record is from RNAcentral.
GGCGUAAAGGGCUCGCAGGCGGUUUCUUAAGUCUGAUGUGAAAGCCCCCGGCUCAACCGGGGAGGGUCAUUGGAAACUGGGAAACUUGAGUGCAGAAGAGGAGAGUGGAAUUCCACGUGUAGCGGUGAAAUGCGUAGAGAUGUGGAGGAACACCAGUGGCGAAGGCGACUCUCUGGUCUGUAACUGACGCUGAGGAGCGAAAGCGUGGGGAGCGAACAGGAUUAGAUACCCUGGUAGUCCACGCCGUAAACGAUGAGUGCUAAGUGUUAGGGGGUUUCCGCCCCUUAGUGCUGCAGCUAACGCAUUAAGCACUCCGCCUGGGGAGUACGGUCGCAAGACUGAAACUCAAAGGAAUUGACGGGGGCCCGCACAAGCGGUGGAGCAUGUGGUUUAAUUCGAAGCAACGCGAAGAACCUUACCAGGUCUUGACAUCCUCUGACAACCCUAGAGAUAGGGCUUUCCCUUCGGGGACAGAGUGACAGGUGGUGCAUGGUUGUCGUCAGCUCGUGUCGUGAGAUGUUGGGUUAAGUCCCGCAACGAGCGCAACCCUUGAUCUUAGUUGCCAGCAUUCAGUUGGGCACUCUAAGGUGACUGCCGGUGACAAACCGGAGGAAGGUGGGGAUGACGUCAAAUCAUCAUGCCCCUUAUGACCUGGGCUACACACGUGCUACAAUGGACAGAACAAAGGGCUGCAAGACCGCAAGGUUUAGCCAAUCCCAUAAAUCUGUUCUCAGUUCGGAUCGCAGUCUGCAACUCGACUGCGUGAAGCUGGAAUCGCUAGUAAUCGCGGAUCAGCAUGCCGCGGUGAAUACGUUC